GACGUAGGAGGCGAGCGUUGUCCGGAAUUACUGGGCGUAAAGCGUGCGCAGGCGGUUUUGUAAGCCAGAUGUGAAAUCCCCGGGCUUAACCUGGGAAUGGCAUUUGGGACUGCAAGGCUUGAGUGCGGCAGAGGAGACUGGAAUUCCUGGUGUAGCAGUGAAAUGCGUAGAUAUCAGGAGGAACACCGAUGGCGAAGGCAGGUCUCUGGGCUGACACUGACGCUCAUGCACGAAAGCGUGGGGAGCAAACAGG
This 253-nucleotide ribosomal RNA is filed under the name uncultured bacterium. RNAcentral describes it as "partial 16S ribosomal RNA". It matches the Rfam family "Bacterial small subunit ribosomal RNA", at positions 524 to 776 of the family's 1533-position model. The record is from RNAcentral.